ACGGCUCAGUAACACGUGGACAACCUACCCUCAGCACGGGGAUAAACCCGGGAAACUGGGUAUAAUACCCGAUAGUUCUGGGAUGCUGGAAUGCUUCCAGGACGAAAGCUCCGGCGACUGAGGAUGGGUCUGCGGCCUAUCAGGUAGUAGUGGGUGUAAUGUACCUACUAGCCUACGACGGGUACGGGUCGUGAGAGCGAGAGCCCGGAGAUGGAUUCUGAGACACGAAUCCAGGCCCUACGGGGUGCAGCAGGCGCGAAAACUUUACAAUGCUGGCAACAGCGAUAAGGGGACCUCGAGUGCCAGGAUACAAUCUUGGCUGUCGUAAUGCCUAAAAAGCAUUGCAUAGCAAGGGCCGGGCAAGACCGGUGCCAGCCGCCGCGGUAACACCGGCGGCUCGAGUGGUAACCGCUAUUAUUGGGUCUAAAGGGUCUGUAGCCGGCCGGAUAAGUCUCUUGGGAAAUCCAGCUGCUCAACAGUUGGGCUUUCAGGAGAUACUGUUCGGCUCGAGGCCGGGAGAGGUGAGAGGUACUUCAGGGGUAGGGGUGAAAUCUUGUAAUCCUUGAAGGACCACCAGUGGCGAAGGCGUCUCACCAGAACGGUCCUGACGGCAAGGGACGAAAGCUAGGGGCACGAACCGGAUUAGAUACCCGGGUAGUCCUAGCCGUAAACGAUACUCGCUAGGUGUCAGCCACGGUGCGACCGUGGUUGGUGCCGUAGGGAAGCCGUGAAGCGAGCCACCUGGGAAGUACGGCCGCAAGGCUGAAACUUAAAGGAAUUGGCGGGGGAGCAC
RNAcentral lists this ribosomal RNA (793 nucleotides) under uncultured archaeon. Its description in RNAcentral is "bacterial SSU rRNA". It matches the Rfam family "Archaeal small subunit ribosomal RNA", at positions 85 to 879 of the family's 1478-position model. The record is from RNAcentral.